Molecule: ribosomal RNA, 440 nt
Filed under: uncultured bacterium
Lineage: Bacteria
Description: partial 16S ribosomal RNA
Rfam family: Bacterial small subunit ribosomal RNA
Source: RNAcentral
CCUACGGGGGGCAGCAGUGGGGAAUAUUGCACAAUGGGGGAAACCCUGAUGCAGCGACGCCGCGUGAAGGAAGAAGGAUUUCGGUACGUAAACUUCUAUCAGCAGGGAAGAAAAUGACGGUACCUGACUAAGAAGCCCCGGCUAACUACGUGCCAGCAGCCGCGGUAAUACGUAGGGGGCAAGCGUUAUCCGGAUUUACUGGGUGUAAAGGGAGCGUAGGCGGUGCAGCAAGUCAGAAGUGAAAGCCCGGGGCUCAACACCGGGACUGCUUUUGAAACUGUUGAACUAGAGUGCAGGAGAGGAAAGUGGAAUUCCUAGUGUAGCGGUGAAAUGCGUAGAUAUUAGGAGGAACACCAGUGGCGAAGGCGGCUUACUGGACUGUAAAUGACGCUGAGGCUCGAAAGCGUGGGGAGCAAACAGGAUUAGAUACCCUAGUAGUC